UUGCCCCUAGUGGUAGAAAUACAGACAUACCUGUUCUAGGUAUAGUUCUUAGUAGGCCAACUUAUUAGGUGGGGUUAGUCAGAAACCCCUGUACUGUAGUAGCUGUUCUGUUCCUGCGUUCCACCAUUAAAAAGACUUCGUCUCCACAUUCCCUCUGCUUGUUCUUUCCAACCCCAGAAUAUCACAACUGGCGACGAGGAUUUUUAAAGAUUUCCACAGCGUGACAGAGAUGAGCCUGUCGACAGACUUUGUGCGGAAGUAAGGGAAACAACCGUAUGUUUUUUUUUUUUCUCCGAAGCUACAAGAUUUAGCACCGAGAAGCUAAUAUGGCUAUGCACGUGGGUCGUGUGGUUGAAUAUGAUGAAUCGAAGGAAGAUUUUGAGUCAUAUUUGGAGCGUUUGGAACAAUGGAUGUUGGCUAAUGAUGUUCCGGAUGAGAAGAUUGUUUGCACUUUUCUCUCUGUGAUCGGAGCAGAUACAUAUGGGCUGCUAAAGAAUCUUGUGUCUCCGAAAGUACCGAGCACGAUGCAGUAUGCAGCGCUCACUGCAGCGUUACAAGCACACUAUAAGCCGACACCAGUGGUGAUAGCUGAGCGUUUUCGAUUCCAAAAACGUAACCAAAAGGAGGGGGAGCCAGUAUCAGGCUACGUGGUUGCCCUGAGGCAGUUGUCAGCCACAUGUAAUUUUGGACAAUACUUGGAUGAGGCGCUGAGAGAUCGUUUUGCCAGUGGGCUGCGCUCGGAUGCUGCACAGCGUAAGCUACUGGCAGAAAAAGAUCUUACCUUUUCACGUGCGUGUGAGAUUGCCGUGAACAUGGAACUUGCUUCAAAGAAUACUAUGGAGUUUUCUGGACACCAUGACCCUCACCAAGUCAAUGCCCUGACAAAUGUUCAAAUUUUUUCUAAGAGAGGAUGGAAGGGACAGCACUCAAAAGAGGGACAGAACUCAAAAGAGGAAAAACAUCAAAUUAAGAGCUGGAUGGGGUCUAAAAAAGAUACAGCAACAAGGCAACCAUGCUAUCGAUGUGGUGGAAAACAUUCAGCACGCGACUGCAGAUUUAGAAAUGAACAAUGUCAUGUUUGUGCAAAAAUAGGACACAUUGCUCGGGCUUGCAGAAAUAAAAAAAGCAGACAACAAACUCAGUAUGUGGAAACGGACAUCGAGGCAUCAAACAGAAAUGAUGAAGCCGAACUUUUUGGAGUUUAUUCGGUGUACUCUGUCGCUUCCAGUGAAAAAGGUUACACAGUGGACGUUUUACUGGGAGACAAAAACACCACCAUGUUGCUGGACACAGGAUCAGCAGUAUCAGUGAUAAGUGACAAGUAUUACCAGUCACAUCUCACCCAGUUCCCUAUAAAACCAGUUGGGUUAAAGUUGAAGUCUUACUCAGGCCAAAGCAUCGCUGUUCGUGGAUGUAUAGUUGUACCAGUACAGUAUGAAACACAAAAGAGUACUUUACCACUGAUCAUUGUUCAGGGAAACAGGCCGUCCCUGAUUGGACGAAACUGGUUAAAGAAACUACAGCUAAACUGGAAACAGAUUUUCACAGUACACAAGGUACUAGUGCAAAAAGAUGCAAAACCAGGAUUACAGAAAGUGAUCCUACGCCAUCAGGCAGUGUUUUCAGAUGACCAAGGCUGCAUCAAGGGAUUUAAGGCCAGGAUUCGCAUUAAGCCAAACACUGCACCAGUUUUCUGUAAAGCUCGCCCAGUUCCUUAUGCACUAAAGGAAGCGGUAGAAAAAGAGUUGGACAGAUUGGAAAAGGUGAAGGUGAUUUCAAAGGUCGAGAAAAGUGAGUGGGCGUCUCCCAUUGUUACAGUGCCUAAAACUGACAAAACCAUUAGGAUCUGUGGUGACUACAAGGUCAGCAUAAAUCAGUGCAUUGAAGAGAAACAUUAUCCACUGCCUAAUGCUGAAGACCUUUUUGCUACUUUGGCGGGAGGAACAUCAUUCAGUAAACUGGACCUUUCUCAUGCCUACCAGCAGCUGGAGUUAGAUGAAGAGUCAGAGAAGUAUCUGGUUAUCAACACCCACAAAGGUCUGUACAAGUACAGUCGCCUCAGCUAUGGCGUUUCCAGUGCUCCUGCUAUUUUUCAGUCUGUGAUGGAUCAGAUUUUCCAAGGGAUGGAUCACGUGACCUGUUUUCUGGAUGAUAUUCUCAUCACUGCGUCAUCGGAGAAGGAACAUCUACAGAGGUUGGAAGAAGUUCUCACACGCCUGGAGAAGCAUGGUGUGAGAGUUAAGCUUGCAAAGUGUCGUUUCCUUCAGAGCAGUGUGGAAUAUUUGGGACACAGGAUCGACAAAGAUGGACUGCACCCCAUGGAGGAAAAGGUUGCAGCCAUAACAAAGGCACCAGAACCAACCAAUGUCACUGAACUGAAGUCUUUUUUGGGUCUUCUGAAUUACUACAGUCGAUUUCUAAACAAUCCAUCUACCAUCCUUCAGCCUCUCCACAACCUGUUGAGAAAAGAUGAAACAUGGAUUUGGACAACAGCAUGUACACAAGCAUUUGAAGAUGCAAAAAGACUACUGCUGCAGAACAAAGUGUUAGUGCAUUAUAGCACACGCCUGCCAUUGAAAUUAGCCUGUGAUGCAUCACCUUAUGGGGUUGGUGCAGUCAUUUCUCAUAUCUUGGAAAAUGGAGAGGAAAGGCCGGUGGCAUUUGCAUCAAGAACGCUAACCGAUGCUGAGCGGAAGUAUGCCCAAAUAGAGAAAGAGGCUCUUGCCAUCAUUUUUGGAGUCAAGAAAUUCCACAAAUAUCUGUACGGAAGGAAAUUCACGCUCGUAACAGAUCACAAGCCAUUGUUGACUAUACUGGGACCAAAGUCAGCGGUGCCAACACUUGCUGCUUUGAGGAUGCAACGCUGGGCUCUUAUUCUGAUGGCAUAUAACUAUGACAUUGAGUACAGAAGAUCAGCUGACCAUGCAAAUGCGGAUGCGUUGUCACGUUUACCGCGGAACUCACCAGAUAACACUGCAGAAGAAGGAAGCAUCUUCUACUUCUCUCAUGUGGAAGAACUACCAGUAUUAGCAAAAGACAUUGAGAAAGCGACUAUGAAAGAUCCGCUUCUCAGCAGAGUGUGGAGCUACACCAUGAAUGGGUGGCCAAAUUAUGUGCAGGAUGAAACACUUGAACCUUAUUUCAUUCGCAGACAGGAACUGUCAGCAGAACAAGGAUGUGUUCUUUGGGGACAACGUGUUAUCAUCCCACCAAGUUACCGACAGAAAGUGCUGAAAGACCUGCAUCAUGAACAUCCAGGCAUAUGUCGUAUGAAAGCUCUCGCCCGCAGUUACCUGUGGUGGCCAGGGUGUGACGGUGACAUACAAGAACUGGUCCAAAGCUGUCAAAUCUGUCAAGCUGUGCAGAAGUUACCAGCGGUUGCACCACUCCACCCGUGGAAAUGGCCUGAAAGACCGUGGCAACGGAUUCACAUUGACUUCGCUGAAAAGGACAAACACUAUUUCUUAGUGGUCAUUGACAGUCAUUCAAAAUGGUUGGAAGUAUUCCCGAUGACAUCCAUCACGUCACACAAUACCAUUGAAAUCUUGAGAAGGUUAUUCUCUUCAUAUGGACUUCCAGAAGAACUUGUUUCAGACAAUGGACCUCAGCUGGUGUCACAAGAAUUCCGCCAGUUUUUGGAGUUAAACGGGAUCCGUCACACAGCUGUUCCUGCAUAUCACCCUGCAUCAAAUGGAGCAGCAGAGAGGUCAGUACAAAUCCUGAAACGAUCUUUGAUGAAAAAUGUACUGGAGACAGAUGGGAAGGCCACAUUGCCACUCAGUCAUCGAUUGGCAAACUUCCUUAUCAUGUAUCGCAGUACACCGCACACCGUGACAGGUUGCACACCAGCAGAGCUAUUCCUGAAACGUCAGAUCCGAACCCGUUUCAGUCUUCUCAAACCUGAACUUGCCCAACACAUUAAACAGGGGCAGUUCAAGCAAAAGCGACAUCAUGAUCGCAGAGCUCCAUUUUUGCGCGUUUUUUCAGAAGGAGAGACUGGUCGUGUCCGAAAUUUCAGAGGAGGGUUUGUGAAGUGGACCUGUGGAACAGUUCUGAAGAAGUUGGGAAGCGUCACUUAUCGGAUACAAGACGGACAGAGAACGCGCACCAUACAUGUCGACCACAUGUUACCAUGGAAACAAGAUGUGGAGAAAUCUCCAGUUAUGUCUUCCCAAGUGCUCGUGGAGGAACCCGAAGAGAUCUACCCGAGAGGAACCCUGACAGCAUCACCUUUGCCUGCUGAAUCACCUGGGCAGACAACAGAAGAACCCUCGGUAUCAACCCCUAAAACAACCCAAAGCCCAUCAGCGGAGCGCAGAUACCCUGUGAGGCACAGAGUUCCUCCAAAGAGACUGAAUCUUUGAAAAUGUAUAAAGUAUGAUUUAGUUACUGCUAGUUGAUUUUUGAGGUAAUAAAGCAUUAAGUGCAGCCUAAAUUGUUAAAUUCUUAGUGAAGGCCAUAGGGAAUUUAUUUACUGUUAUUAUGCAUUUUUUCCUACAUAUUAGUUGCAGUAGAAAUCUAAAAGGGAAGGAAUGUAAUAGAGUGGUUUGUUGCCCCUAGUGGUAGAAAUACAGAUAUACCUGUUCUAGGUAUAGUUCUUAGUAGGCCAACUUAUUAGGUGGGGUUAGUCAGAAACCCCUGUACUGUAGUAGCUGUUCUGUUCCUGCGUUCCACCAUUAAAAAGACUUCGUCUCCACAUUCCCUCUGCUUGUUCUUUCCAACCCCAGAAUAUCACAGCCAGUAUGUCUACUUUUCUUUAGUUGCUCUAUUGUUAUUCAUUUGCCUUACUGUUUAUGUGCUUGUCUUUAGUCUUAGCUCCUUGUUUAGUUUCUUUUUUCUACCCAUGUUGUAAUGUUCUUUGUGCCUCAACGAGUCUUUGUAUACUGUUUGUUUAAUAAAUAAAAAAAAUAAAAAAAUUACAGACAAAAACCUACGAUACUGACAAAAAAAACAUGCUGGUGACGUAGACUGUGCGUCAUCAUUCACUCCAACUGUUAUUUCUCUCCAAAACUGUUUGAAUUUGUGGAGAGAAAUAAAAUGAUUGGUCCAGGUUCGGAACACAAUAUGGAGAACCGAACCAGAACCAAACCGGUGUUACACCGGCAUCCUAAGAUUUUUUUUUUUUAGCUCUUUACCAGCAGGGGGCGGAUCUGAUUUCCAGCUCUCCUUUCAGAAACCUUCGCGCGCCUUACAGUGAUCGAUGGAAACGUCACAGGCUUGUGGGAAACACGUGACCAUCAGCAGGAUUUUCUGCUCUUCUGACGUCUGUUACACGAUCAAAUUCAGAAUCUUCUGACUUCUUCGGCACUUUUUGUUCUGACGGCAGAAAUUCCGAGUCUCUGCUGCGCCUCAAACGCAGCAAAGCAACACCUUAGCUAGCCAAUCAGAGAGCAGUAGCAUGACCAGACCGGAAGAAAAGCUCUAUUCGAUCAUGAUCGAUGACCAGCUCGUUUGACCGUGUUUACCAGGGAAUAUUGUUCUGUAGCAAAAUCAGAACCUGAACCAGAACCGUAACUGACGGCCAGGGAGAACAUACUGGAUCAGUUCCAGGAAAAGAUCCGGUUCUUGUGCAGGAAUCAAUCCAGAGUUCACAGAGGAAUAAAAACUGAUAACAUCAGAGCAAAGGUCCAUUCAAUAAUCUGCUGGAAUAACGCGAACCUUUAACUCCAUCAUUUCUCUCUGGUCCAAAGUCUCCUGGUGGACCCGGGAGUCCAAACCCGCC
RNA transcript from Xiphophorus hellerii (green swordtail), 5722 nucleotides. It is a transcript of the gene named lipid droplet associated hydrolase, with no coding region annotated. NCBI's taxonomy places the organism in Eukaryota, Metazoa, Chordata, Actinopteri, Cyprinodontiformes, Poeciliidae. The transcript is spliced from 2 exons. The record is from RefSeq and is a predicted model, not a curated record.